UACGGGGGGGAGCAAGCGUUGUUCGGAUUUACUGGGCGUAAAGGGCGCGUAGGCGGCCAGCACAAGUCAGUUGUGAAAUCUCCGAGCUUAACUCGGAAAGGUCAACUGAUACUGUGCGGCUAGAGUGCGGAAGGGGCAACUGGAAUUCUCGGUGUAGCGGUGAAAUGCGUAGAUAUCGGGAGGAAUACCAGUGGCGCAAGCGGCGCCCCUGGCCGUGACCUGACACUGAGCCACGACGGCGUGGGGAGCAAACGGG
Molecule: ribosomal RNA, 256 nt
Filed under: uncultured bacterium
Lineage: Bacteria
Description: partial 16S ribosomal RNA
Rfam family: Bacterial small subunit ribosomal RNA
Source: RNAcentral